GUAGGUGAACCUGCGGAAGGAUCAUUAUUGAAUAAACUUGAUGGGUUGUCGCUGGCUCCUAGGAGCAUGUGCACACUUGUCAUCUUUAUCUAUCCACCUGUGCACCUUUUGUAGUCUUGGAUUAAUGAGCGUGUGUUCAGUACUCGCGCGAGUUUCUCUGAGUCUAUGUCUUUCAUAUACCACAUAGUAUGUUUUAGAAUGUUGUUAUUAGGUCUUAGUACCUAUAAAACACAAUACAACUUUCAGCAACGGAUCUCUUGGCUCUC
RNAcentral lists this unclassified non-coding RNA (266 nucleotides) under rhizosphere metagenome. RNAcentral's name for it is "partial ribosomal RNA internal transcribed spacer region". The record is from RNAcentral.